ACUGUCAUCACAACCCCAAACUUGAACUGUUACUUGUCCUCAAGUGACAUGUCUGUCAAAACAAAACUGUCAGGGAAUUAACAAAUUAAUUUGAAUGAUAAAAAUCUCAUAAACCUUUUUCUCUUCAUCCGGCAAUAGAACCACCGGUCUUAACUUCAGUGAUUCUGCUCAAUCAGCACUCUGAUUUCUAAGACUUCAAUCAGAUUUAGUCCAAUGACCGUUCCACACAAUGUACAAAGUUCAAUCUUAUCUCUCACUCACUAAUUCACUCAAUUUUUGACAGGGUAUUCACUCCAUCAACAUGCAAAUGUUAUUUUACCAUAAGCUUGAAAAAAUUCUAAAUGUCAAUCAAAGNNNNNNNNNNNNNNNNNNNNNNAUACAUCGCACACAUUUUUGAGGUCUUGAGGGUUAUAACUUGGCUUGGGUAAAUGGUGGGAUAAUUUUAGGAAAAGUAGGCUAAAUUGGAGUUAGGUAUCCACUAC
This 482-nucleotide long non-coding RNA is filed under the name Trifolium pratense (red clover). Its description in RNAcentral is "long non-coding RNA (TPRA_LNC008628)". The record is from RNAcentral. Lineage: Eukaryota; Viridiplantae; Streptophyta; Magnoliopsida; Fabales; Fabaceae.